RNAcentral lists this ribosomal RNA (440 nucleotides) under uncultured bacterium. RNAcentral describes it as "partial 16S ribosomal RNA". It matches the Rfam family "Bacterial small subunit ribosomal RNA", at positions 338 to 795 of the family's 1533-position model. The record is from RNAcentral.
CCUACGGGAGGCAGCAGUGGGGAAUAUUGCACAAUGGGGGAAACCCUGAUGCAGCGACGCCGCGUGAGCGAUGAAGUAUCUCGGUAUGUAAAGCUCUAUCAGCAGGGAAGAAAAUGACGGUACCUGACUAAGAAGCCCCGGCUAACUACGUGCCAGCAGCCGCGGUAAUACGGAGGGGGCAAGCGUUAUCCGGAUUUACGGGGUGUAAAGGGAGCGUAGACGGGCCUGCAAGCCAGAUGGGAAAGCCCGGGGCGCAACCCCGGGACUGCAUUUGAAACUGUCAGGCUAGAGUGUCGGAGAGGCAGGCGGAAUGCCUGGUGUAGCGGUGAAAUGCGUAGAUAUUAGGAAGAACCCCAGUGGCGAAGGCAGCCUGCUGGACGAUGACUGACGUUGAGGCACGAAAGCGUGGGGAGCGAACAGGAUUAGAUACCCCUGUAGUC